UUUCCACUGACCAAUUUUGAACUAGUUUUCAACCUUGUAAGGAGGUUUUGUGAACAUCUAAAUCGGACGUACAGAACACGUCAAAAAAGACGUCAUAAAAACUUUCAUUCUGGCUCCUCAGUGGACGUCUUUUCAACUUCUCCAAAGACAUAAAAAGACAUCUACUGGACAUAAUUUUGCCCAGUGGGUGGGAGUGUGGGCUGAAAAUCCCAUUUAAUCCCAUUUAAUUUGUGAUCACAUGGGAAGAAGUUCUCUUAUGCAUAUAGACAAAAAUAAAUUACAAGUAAUUAUCAUGAUUUCAUUCAUUCAUCAAUUGUCAUGAUUUAGACACAAUAUUCUUCCACAAGAAGCAUAAGCGCUAGAGGGCCAAAAGUUACACCGUCACGAUCUGUGCUGGGUGGAACAAGAGAGAAACUUGGAGUACAAAUAAUAGUCUUUAAUCCAGGAAACACAGGGGAUAAUCCACAAUGGAAACAACAGGAACACUAUGAGUAGACCCGACAAACACUAACUGAAUGGACUUGGGCUUUUAAACACACACUCUAAAAAAUAAUUCAAGGGAUCUGUUACCACUACAUAAUUAAUUACAUUGUUGUAAAUUAAAAAUUCUAAAUUGUUAAUUUGAUUAAACCUUUUAAGUUGCCAGCAUUAUUUUAAUGAGUUGUCAUGACAGAAUAAUGUUGAAAAUUACAUCAACUUAAUAAUGUAUGUAAUUUAAACAUAAAUAUAUGUGUUGAGUAGUUUAAACCAAUAUUUAUGUUGUAGCAACCCAAUGCAAUUGGCUUGAUAACUUAAUUUUUCCUCACCAUUUGAGUUCAGAAUUUCAAAGCUCCUCCCCCACUAAACGAGCAAGGAGCAAGUUCAGACAUGUUUUAACCUGACCAGUACGACAUAAAGGACAUUUCAAGAUAAAUGAACAAUUCAAGAGAAUAACCACUGUAAGUCUUGAAGCCACCUUUAUGAAAGAAUCAGAAAGAUCAGGGACAUGCUUCUCAAGCACAAAACAUCUGAAGUACGGAGAGAAGUAGCUAUCCGCUGCCUUGUUGUCUAUCUUGGAGAGAAAGAAGAGGACCUUUUCAAGGAGUUUGCUG
Molecule: long non-coding RNA, 1091 nt
Organism: Carassius auratus (goldfish)
Lineage: Eukaryota; Metazoa; Chordata; Actinopteri; Cypriniformes; Cyprinidae
Exons: 3
Source: RefSeq, a predicted model, not a curated record